UAAUACGUAGGGUGCAAGCGUUGUCCGGAAUUACUGGGUGUAAAGGGUCCGCAGGCGGACAAGUUCGUCGGAGGUGAAAUCUACCCGCUCAACGGGUAAACUGCCUUCGAUACUGCUUGUCUUGAGUUCGGGAGAGGGUAGUGGAAUUCCUGGUGUAGCGGUGAAAUGCGUAGAUAUCAGGAAGAACACCAGUUGCGAAGGCGGCUACCUGGCCCGACACUGACGCUCAGGGACGAAAGCGUGGGGAGCAAACAGGAUUAGAUACCCUGGUAGUCCACGCCCUAAACGAUGGGUACUAGGUGCUGGUCCCGCUCGGUACAUGCGAAGCGUGUCUCGAGCGGGAUCAGUGCCGCAGUUAACGCAUUAAGUACCCCACCUGGGGAGUACGAUCGCAAGGUUG
Molecule: ribosomal RNA, 400 nt
Filed under: uncultured Ignavibacteria bacterium
Lineage: Bacteria; Pseudomonadati; Ignavibacteriota; Ignavibacteria
Description: bacterial SSU rRNA
Rfam family: Bacterial small subunit ribosomal RNA
Source: RNAcentral